UGGGGAAUUUUGGACAAUGGGCGAAAGCCUGAUCCAGCAAUGCCGCGUGUGUGAAGAAGGCCUUCGGGUUGUAAAGCACUUUUGUCCGGAAAGAAAUCCUCUGGGUUAAUACCUCGGGGGGAUGACGGUACCGGAAGAAUAAGCACCGGCUAACUACGUGCCAGCAGCCGCGGUAAUACGUAGGGUGCAAGCGUUAAUCGGAAUUACUGGGCGUAAAGCGUGCGCAGGCGGUUUUGUAAGACGGAUGUGAAAUCCCCGGGCUUAACCUGGGAACUGCAUUCGUGACUGCAAGGCUAGAGUAUGGCAGAGGGGGGUUAGAAUUCCACGUGUAGCAGUGAAAUGCGUAGAGAUGUGGAGGAAUACCGAUGGCGAAGGCAGCCCCCUGGGCCAAUACUGACGCUCAUGCACGAAAGCGUGGGGAGCAAACAGGAUUAGGAUACCCUGGUAGUCCACGCCCUAAACGAUGUCAACUAGUUGUUGGGGAUUCAUUUCCUUAGUAACGUAGCUAACGCGUGAAGUUGACCGCCUGGGGGAGUACGGUCGCAAGAUUAAAACUCAAAGGAAUUGACGGGGUCAUAGCUGUUUCCU
This 588-nucleotide ribosomal RNA is filed under the name uncultured bacterium. RNAcentral describes it as "partial 16S ribosomal RNA". It matches the Rfam family "Bacterial small subunit ribosomal RNA", at positions 355 to 1375 of the family's 1533-position model. The record is from RNAcentral.